AUCCAUUGACGAGUCUCAAAUAGGACGAAAUGCGCAUCCUGGAU
RNAcentral lists this non-coding RNA (44 nucleotides) under Trichobilharzia regenti. Lineage: Eukaryota; Metazoa; Platyhelminthes; Trematoda; Strigeidida; Schistosomatidae. The record is from RNAcentral.